GGCAUAUACAUAAGGUUGCCUUACUUUAAAAUAAGUGGCUAUCAUAGAAAAAGGUUAGUGAUUUAGCAUCAUUUGAAAUCUAUGAUUAAAGCCAUACGUUAUAUUUAGGCGGUAAAAUAGAAGUUAUACAAACGAAGUUCUGUAUACAUGGUUAACUGAAUAAAUGCCUUUAGAAAUCUGAGCCUUCACAGGGAGUCUGGC
Pelobates cultripes (western spadefoot toad) is the source of this 201-nucleotide non-coding RNA. The record is from the annotation of a GenBank genome assembly. NCBI's taxonomy places the organism in Eukaryota, Metazoa, Chordata, Amphibia, Anura, Pelobatidae.